Molecule: transfer RNA, 70 nt
Filed under: Atheta amicula
Lineage: Eukaryota; Metazoa; Arthropoda; Insecta; Coleoptera; Staphylinidae
Description: transfer RNA-Leu
Source: RNAcentral
AUUUUUAUUAUUUUGGCAGAUUAGUGCAUUAAAUUUAGAAUUUAAUUAUGUAAGCAUAUUACAAAUAAUA